This is a long non-coding RNA of Bufo gargarizans (Asiatic toad), 3058 nucleotides long. RefSeq lists it as uncharacterized. NCBI's taxonomy places the organism in Eukaryota, Metazoa, Chordata, Amphibia, Anura, Bufonidae. The transcript has 3 exons. The record is from RefSeq and is a predicted model, not a curated record.
GGGGAAUACUGGGUGAUGACUGCAUGGAAAUCCCCAGUCACUUCUUCCUCUUGUAGAGUAUGAGACAGGUUAUAUCCAGGAGCACUAUCUGUAGUCAAUGGGGUGCUGGCUACCUAUCCACCUGUCGCAGUGGCCAUGGAUGGAAGACGGGAGCAUUGUGCCUGAGAACUAACUGAAGAACUGCUGCCCAGGGCUACCGAAGUCAAGGAGGACAGCAAAGCCACCCAUUAUAGCAGUUGACCGGGACCACCAGUAGAGAUCCGGAGGUGGAUUGGAAAGCAGUGAGUAAUAAUUCUGGAAUCAUUACUGUGUAGCUGUAAUUUUAUGUUUAGGGCUAUUCACUUAGUGACAAAUACAUUUGUAGAGCUUCAGUUCUCUUGUAGCCUGCUUAAGGUUUCAUUUGGGAUUUCCCCGUAUUUUGUAUUACCCUUCUUCUUUCACAAACCAUCCAGGGCUCCUGCUGCCCACUGCCACCACCAUGCCUUACAGUGAUUCAGUGUUAUCCUUCAUUAAAAAAUAAAAAGGGCCCACAUAAUGCCAGCAUUGAUUGUCUAAAGAGUACCGUACACUGACCGAGAAACAGGAAGGAGGGCAAAACGGGGAAUGCCCUGCAUAUAUUGGGCAGAAGAGAACUUAUGCUGGGUUCACAGGGCCCAAUGUCCAGGCCGGCUAAUGGAAAUGAACGUUGCCCUCGAUAACCCAAUGAACGAGCGUUGAAACAAUCGUUAGUGCAGACACCUCAAUCAUUGUUUCUGGGCAGCAGAACGUGCUGUGUGAACAGGGAUCUGCUGCCCUGAAACAAUGCAGCUGUAUGAGGACGAGUGAUCGCAGUAGCCAUUGCUCAUCAUCAUAUUGUGGAGGUGAUCGCAGCACUGAACGGGCAGCUAAUUGUUGGCAAGGAACGCUUCCUUCCCUAGGGGUGUACUGGCCAUAGACUCUACAGGGAAACUUCCAGGUGAGCUGAUGCCCAGGAGACCACCUGAGACCUUCUCAAGACCUCCAGGCAGGUAUGUAAUGAUCUGAUGCUUUCCUCCUGAUUCUUGAAUUCAACUGUAUUGCCAUCUUAAGGGAACUGGAGUAGGAAGACAGAACGUGGCAGCUGGCGUUGACCAGCUUCUGGGGAGGAAUUUUGUGAUGGACUGUGGUAUUUGGCUCUACUGGGGUGGUAUAAUGUGCCACAAUAUAGUAAUGUUGGCCCUGCCUUCUGUCAGCUUUGAUGUGCCUACAACAUAGGGCCACUUUUACUUUUUUUCUCCAGGGCCAUCCCUGUCCUUCUCAAUAACUGACUGCUGGUCGGAGCAUGUAAAUCCAGCGUAAGCUGUACGCACACAGAUAGCACUUUCUCACUGUAAAGUUGGGUGGAGCACACUAGUCACGUCAGUGUAGUCCGUCAGUGGCCUACCGCACUUUAAUCAUGCCUGAAUACCUCCAAGGAUAAGCGUAACAACCUGCACACUCCGUGAUGUUAUUAGCUCUUCAGAAGGCCAGGGACUGGGUCAUGUUAUUUGUCUGCUAUGUUUGCAAACUGUAUUGACUUUAUACUGAGCAUACAAUAAAAUGGCAAUAGAGGCUGGGUCAAUAUUGAAUUUACCCCUGCUGUACUGUAAGGCUUUCUUAUUUAUUCAGGGGCCCUUGUCUUCAAGCGUGGGAGUGGUGCAGGGUGAUCCAUCACUUCCGUACAUCUAUAUACACACUACUUCUGAACUGAAGGAUCAACCAACAUUAUUUAAUGAGCACUAGCCCUAUAGUCAUAAGUGUAUAAGGGCCCAUUUACACCGCCAGACAACCUGCAGAUAAUGACCGCCAAUCCGGCAAGUUAACAUUUACCUCCUCUUAAUUGUUCCUGUACAGUUUGUAUUAUUGUCGGCAGCACAUCCCCUAUUUAUAUGACAAUGAUAAUGACAAUGAUAUUUAGUACAAACAACAGUCGCUGGUUCUUAAAGGGAUUUUCUGGGAUUACUAUUCUGUUUAAUAGAUCUGCUCAUGUAGUUGCCUACAUCAUGUAAAUCUUCCCCAUACUUUUUGUUUUUUUUCAAUUUAGACUAUACUGCAGGGCCGCAUGGCCAAUUAGGCGAAGUGAGGCCAUUGCCUCAGGCAGCGCAGAACUUGAGAUGAGUGGGGUCUGCGGCAGGGCCAAGGGUAAAGAGCGCUUCCAUUGUGAAAUCACUCAUCUCUGUAUUUCAACUGUAUCGCCGUCCUCAGGACGGUAAUACAGUUGGAUGCUGCAGCUGGGCACAGGAGUUAUGUCUUCCUGCCCCGCUGUUCCCUCUGAUAGGCUUCAGGCCUAGUGCCUGCAGAGAUAGGAGAUGGCUGAAAAAUCAUCAUGGUGGUUUGGUCUGAAUGGAGAAGAUUAGGAAGAAGAGCAUCUAUAUCAAAGGAGAUGUCACUGGAUGUAAGAGAGGCCGCUGUUUCCCCACACAGCUAAUAUACUGCUGGAUUUCCAUAUUCAUGAGAGGUGGGGUUGAGAAGCUGGAGAAGAAGUUGGAAGCAGAGGAAUAGCAGACAUCUUAGAGGGAGCCAGACAGAACAGGACAGUGUGCGAAUCGAAUCCGCUGGCAUCCAAGUGUCCGUGCUUCCUACAGUGGCCGGAGCUGCAGCUGAGUGAGGCUGAUCCAAGUCCAAGUCCCAGAGCCCGUCCGUAGGAAAAGGAUCGUUUCCAGAAAGGCUGUUAGGACCUUUGGAACAAAGCGCUAUCUUCUCUGCAGGGCCGCAUGUGUGCUGAAGAGACUUGCUUCUGUCCAUGUUGAAAACAUCAGCGGAUGAAAACAUACCUGGGUCAGUAAAAUCGUGCACACAGGGUGUCAGUGUUGCUUACUCAUUCGUGACUUCGCUGUAUCCUGGGGAGCCCACCCAGGCACACGGCUUACAGAUACAAACCGGAAGACCCCUUUAACCUCCCUGACGGUAUUCCCGAGCGUGACUUGGGUUAAUUUUCGCUGCCAGGAUCGGUAACCCUGAGUCACGCUCGGGGUAACAUUGCAGGGUCUGUUCACCUUCUGCCGGCGAUCCGGCAAUGUCCUCCACUUGUGUUCUGCCAGAUCUCCAUACCUUGCGAAAA